UACGAAGGGGGCAAGCGUUGUUCGGAAUUAUUGGGCGUAAAGCGCACGUAGGCGGUUUGUUAAGUCGGAUGUGAAAUCCCUCGGCUCAACUGAGGAAGUGCAUCCGAAACUGGCAAGCUUGAGUACGAAAGAGGGUCGCGGAAUUCCCGGUGUAGAGGUGAAAUUCGUAGAUAUCGGGAGGAACACCGGUGGCGAAGGCGGCGACCUGGGUCGAUACUGACGCUGAGGUGCGAAAGCGUGGGGAGCAAACAGG
Molecule: ribosomal RNA, 253 nt
Filed under: uncultured bacterium
Lineage: Bacteria
Description: partial 16S ribosomal RNA
Rfam family: Bacterial small subunit ribosomal RNA
Source: RNAcentral